This 423-nucleotide ribosomal RNA is filed under the name uncultured bacterium. Its description in RNAcentral is "bacterial SSU rRNA". It matches the Rfam family "Bacterial small subunit ribosomal RNA", at positions 207 to 622 of the family's 1533-position model. The record is from RNAcentral.
AAGACCUUGCACUUUUGGAGCGGCCGAUGUCUGAUUAGCUAGUUGGUGGGGUAAAGGCCUACCAAGGCAUCGAUCAGUAGCUGGUCUGAGAGGACGACCAGCCACACUGGGACUGAGACACGGCCCAGACUCCUACGGGAGGCAGCAGUGGGGAAUUUUGGACAAUGGGCGCAAGCCUGAUCCAGCCAUGCCGCGUGAGUGAAGAAGGCCUUCGGGUUGUAAAGCUCUUUCAGUCGGGAAGAAAAGGUUGCGACUAAUAAUCGUGAUCAAUGACGGUACCGAAAGAAGAAGCACCGACUAACUACGUGCCAGCAGCCGCGGUAAUACGUAGGGUGCGAGCGUUAAUCGGAAUUACUGGGCGUAAAGGGUGCGCAGGCGGUUUUGUAAGUCAGAUGUGAAAUCCCCGGGCUUAACCUGGGAACU